UUGAACGCUGGCGGCAUGCCUUACACCUUCCAGUCGCACGGCAGCACGGGAGCAAUCCUGGUGGCGAGUGGCGAACGGGUGAGUAAUACAUCGGAACGUGCCCAAUCGUGGGGGAUAACGCAGCGAAAGCUGUGCUAAUACCGCAUACGAUCUACGGAUGAAAGCAGGGGACCGCAAGGCCUUGCGCGCAUGGAGCGGCCGAUGGCAGAUUAGGUAGUUGGUGGGGUAAAGGCUCACCAAGCCAACGAUCUGUAGCUGGUCUGAGAGGACGACCAGCCACACUGGGACUGAGACACGGCCCAGACUCCUACGGGAGGCAGCAGUGGGGAAUUUUGGACAAUGGGCGCAAGCCUGAUCCAGCCAUGCCGCGUGCAGGAUGAAGGCCUUCGGGUUGUAAACUGCUUUUGUACAGAACGAAACGGCCUUUUCUAAUAAAGAGGGCUAAUGACGGUACCGUAAGAAUAAGCACCGGCUAACUACGUG
This 483-nucleotide ribosomal RNA is filed under the name uncultured bacterium. Its description in RNAcentral is "partial 16S ribosomal RNA". It matches the Rfam family "Bacterial small subunit ribosomal RNA", at positions 30 to 507 of the family's 1533-position model. The record is from RNAcentral.